AAGGUUUGACAUGGAGGGCAAAGUUGAAGAAAUUCAACGGAGGUUAUCCCGACACAGGUGGUGCAUGGUUCGUCGUCAGUUCGUGCUGUGAAGCAUAUGCUUAAGUGCUAUAACGAACGCAACCCUCGUAUUUAGUUACUAUCAUUCAGUUGAGAACUCUAAAUAGACUGCUAAGGUAACUUAGAGGAAGGAGAGGAUGACGUCUGAUCAUCGUAUGCCCUUAUAUCGUUGGGU
This 234-nucleotide ribosomal RNA is filed under the name uncultured bacterium. RNAcentral's name for it is "partial 16S ribosomal RNA". It matches the Rfam family "Bacterial small subunit ribosomal RNA", at positions 978 to 1208 of the family's 1533-position model. The record is from RNAcentral.